AAUAGAUACCCAGGUAGUCCACGCCGUAAACGAUGAGUGCUAAGUGUUAGAGGGUUUCCGCCCUUUAGUGCUGCAGCUAACGCAUUAAGCACUCCGCCUGGGGAGUACGGCCGCAAGGCUGAAACUCAAAGGAAUUGACGGGGGCCCGCACAAGCGGUGGAGCAUGUGGUUUAAUUCGAAGCAACGCGAAGAACCUUACCAGGUCUUGACAUCCUCUGCCAACCCUAGAGAUAGGGCGUUCCCCUUCGGGGGACAGAGUGACAGGUGGUGCAUGGUUGUCGUCAGCUCGUGUCGUGAGAUGUUGGGUUAAGUCCCGCAACGAGCGCAACCCUUGAUCUUAGUUGCCAGCAUUCAGUUGGGCACUCUAAGGUGACUGCCGGUGACAAACCGGAGGAAGGUGGGGAUGACGUCAAAUCAUCAUGCCCCUUAUGACCUGGGCUACACACGUGCUACAAUGGAUGGUACAAAGAGCUGCGAACCCGCGAGGGUAAGCGAAUCUCAUAAAGCCAUUCUCAGUUCGGAUUGUAGGC
Molecule: ribosomal RNA, 530 nt
Filed under: uncultured bacterium
Lineage: Bacteria
Description: bacterial SSU rRNA
Rfam family: Bacterial small subunit ribosomal RNA
Source: RNAcentral